RNAcentral lists this ribosomal RNA (1371 nucleotides) under uncultured bacterium. RNAcentral's name for it is "bacterial SSU rRNA". It matches the Rfam family "Bacterial small subunit ribosomal RNA", at positions 28 to 1381 of the family's 1533-position model. The record is from RNAcentral.
GAUGAACGCUGGCGGCGUGCCUAAUACAUGCAAGUCGAGCGAACGGACGAGAAGCUUGCUUCUCUGAUGUUAGCGGCGGACGGGUGAGUAACACGUGGAUAACCUACCUAUAAGACUGGGAUAACUUCGGGAAACCGGAGCUAAUACCGGAUAAUAUUUUGAACCGCAUGGUUCAAAAGUGAAAGACGGUCUUGCUGUCACUUAUAGAUGGAUCCGCGCUGCAUUAGCUAGUUGGUAAGGUAACGGCUUACCAAGGCAACGAUGCAUAGCCGACCUGAGAGGGUGAUCGGCCACACUGGAACUGAGACACGGUCCAGACUCCUACGGGAGGCAGCAGUAGGGAAUCUUCCGCAAUGGGCGAAAGCCUGACGGAGCAACGCCGCGUGAGUGAUGAAGGUCUUCGGAUCGUAAAACUCUGUUAUUAGGGAAGAACAUAUGUGUAAGUAACUGUGCACAUCUUGACGGUACCUAAUCAGAAAGCCACGGCUAACUACGUGCCAGCAGCCGCGGUAAUACGUAGGUGGCAAGCGUUAUCCGGAAUUAUUGGGCGUAAAGCGCGCGUAGCGGUUUUUUAAGUCUGAUGUGAAAGCCCACGGCUCAACCGUGGAGGGUCAUUGGAAACUGGAAAACUUGAGUGCAGAAGAGGAAAGUGGAAUUCCAUGUGUAGCGGUGAAAUGCGCAGAGAUAUGGAGGAACACCAGUGGCGAAGGCGACUUUCUGGUCUGUAACUGACGCUGAUGUGCGAAAGCGUGGGGAUCAAACAGGAUUAGAUACCCUGGUAGUCCACGCCGUAAACGAUGAGUGCUAAGUGUUAGGGGGUUUCCGCCCCUUAGUGCUGCAGCUAACGCAUUAAGCACUCCGCCUGGGGAGUACGACCGCAAGGUUGAAACUCAAAGGAAUUGACGGGGACCCGCACAAGCGGUGGAGCAUGUGGUUUAAUUCGAAGCAACGCGAAGAACCUUACCAAACCUUGACAUCCUUUGACAACUCUAGAGAUAGAGCUUUCCCCUUCGGGGGACAAAGUGACAGGUGGUGCAUGGUUGUCGUCAGCUCGUGUCGUGAGAUGUUGGGUUAAGUCCCGCAACGAGCGCAACCCUUAAGCUUAGUUGCCAUCAUUAAGUUGGGCACUCUAAGUUGACUGCCGGUGACAAACCGGAGGAAGGUGGGGAUGACGUCAAAUCAUCAUGCCCCUUAUGAUUUGGGCUACACACGUGCUACAAUGGACAAUACAAAGGGCAGCGAAACCGCGAGGUCAAGCAAAUCCCAUAAAGUUGUUCUCAGUUCGGAUUGUAGUCUGCAACUCGACUACAUGAAGCUGGAAUCGCUAGUAAUCGUAGAUCAGCAUGCUACGGUGAAUACGUUCCCGGGUCU